Anguilla rostrata (American eel) is the source of this 3698-nucleotide long non-coding RNA. RefSeq lists it as uncharacterized. The transcript has 2 exons. NCBI's taxonomy places the organism in Eukaryota, Metazoa, Chordata, Actinopteri, Anguilliformes, Anguillidae. The record is from RefSeq and is a predicted model, not a curated record.
CUUACAGGAAAUAAGAUUAUAGGUUACUCUACAGGGUUGGAGUCCUGAUCUUGCCUUCCCUCAUAUGUUUUCCACUUUUAUUGUGGAAUUGUACCCAACUCUGAUGCCAAUAGUCAACAUGAGGGUGAUGGAGCUGAAUGCAAUGACACCCCACACAAAUUUGUGUAUGUGGACGAGGCAGGAUUCAACCUGAACAAAUUUAGAUGACAGGAACAUCAUACCCUAGCCAAUGUGGAUGUGCCAGGCCAGUAUGGGGGUAACAUAACAACGUGUGCUACAAUCUCAGAGUAUUGCAUAAUUCAACAUGUUCAGACCAUUGGACCCUACAACACAACCCAUCUUGUUUAUUUCUUGGGGGGACUUUGCAAGCUGCUCAUCCCUGAGAAUGAGAGGGGAGUGGUGAGGCUCGACUUGCCAAAUUAUGUGGUAAUCUGGGUCAAUGUCAGUUUUCACUGUUCCAGACUUUUGCCCGGGAAUGGUUUGCUGUGUUCCUACCACCCUGUUCACCUUUCCUCAGUCCAACUGAGGAAUUCUUCUCAGCAUGCAGGUGGAAGGUGUAUGAUGGCCAGCUCCAUAACCAGUUGUCUUUACUCAAAGCAAUGGAUGCUGGUUGUGAGGACAUCACACCUGAGGAUUGCUGAGGGUGGCUGCGACAUACAAGGUUUUUCCCUCUGUGUCUUGAGAGGCAAGACAUCAGGUGUGAUGGCAACACUUUCUUUGAAUGGUCCUCUCUGAGAGUUAUAUAAAACCUCCAUAAGCACUACAUACCCACUUCUUAAGCACUAUAUAGACAGUCAUUGGUGCUUAUGUCAAUAACUGCUGAUAGUAUGCAACACUUAGUAUGCCAUGGUGGUGUCACUUUCUGCAUCAGUUGUGACAUACAGUAACACACCAUAAGCCUAUUUCCAGUUUUUUGACAUAAGGAUAUAGAAAUGUUUCGGUACCACUUAUGAAUGUGUUUGUACUGAUUAUGAAGGUGAGUACAUUGCUGCACAUAGUUGCAAUGUUUUUGGUGCAUACUACCAUAGAAAUGGACAAGAUGGCGAAACAUUUGCAAGAUGGCAAGAAAUAGUCCUUUUACAAACCUAAAAAAUUUCCAGAACAAGUUCUGACCCCUACCACCAGACAGAAAUAUCUUGAAAUUAGUCAAUUUUGUUUGAAAUCAUUUUUGUGUUUUUCUGGAGAGAGGGGAGGAAGGAGAUCUUUCAAAAUGACUGCCCUCAAUGGGAAAUUCCUCAAGUAAAUACCCAUUCUACCACAAAGCGUUCAUGUCAUAAAAAAAUACUCUGUAUGAUUCAAUAAUGGAAAAGAGCAAUAUCAGGUGAUAUCACAUGAUAAUCAUAAUGUCUAUCUAUGAAGUCACUGAACAAACAAAAACAGUCACUAUGCUGUAUGUUCAUGUAGCUGAAGGAAGUGAAACUUUUUUCCAACACAAAAAAUGCUUUCAGCAUAUUUAGUUUGAAUUCUCCUUUUUAGUGAACAAGAAUAUAUGUACUCAAAGAACAGCUGACGUCCAUCAGCUGAAGUCCAAUUUUCCAAUUAUUUUGUCUGAAUUUUUUACCAAAUUUUUAUAUGCGAUCAUCUGCCACCUACUGGCCAAAGAAUGGAAAGUAUCUUCCUCUUUCACACAGGCCUCGCUUCCAUGCAUCCUGCCUGAAGCAUGACUCCGUACCCUUGGCCCUGGAGAACUGCAGGGCCUGCGUUUUUUAUCUUCAUUUUGUUACUCAGCACUUAAUUUAUCCUUACAGCAGUUUAAUACAGCGCUAAAUCACAUCACUUGUUUACUGGGUCUGAAUCGGUUGCCGAUUCUCAGGUGAAAACAAAAACCAGCUGACCCUGCAGCUCCCCAUGUAUGCUAGUAUUCGUUACCGCUAAAUCUCAUGAACCAACAGUACAUUCCAGGAAGAGUAAAUGUCCCAUAUUCAUAUCAUAAUGGUUUCAUUUAAAAAAAAAAAAAAAAUACUAUACACAAAUGAUUCCUUUAGGAAGAGGUCACAUUUUUUCAAUAGUUUCACUUGUAGACAGACAGGUGAAAUCAUUAGGUCCUAACAGCUGAAAGCAUUGUUUUAUUUAUUUAUGUUGUGGAAUUCACUGUUCCAAAAUUAGUUUAAGGAAAAAUACAGAAGAAUGUCUCCAACAAUCUGGACUGAUUCAAGAACGCACACACAAGGGGUACCCAGCAGAGGUGGAAAAUCCAGGUUUGGAAAGUCCUUCCCAGUAUUUUGUUCCAAUCACCUGGAUUUGCUCAUUAGCACAAUUCUUCAACCAGGAGGUAGAACUAAUUGUUGAGAUCCGCUGGAGUUCAUGGGUGAAAAUACAUCGGAGGAUUUUUUGACUCCUGGACUUUCCACCUGUAGUACCCAGGACCGAGAUUGAGUUCCUUUGUUUUUUAAAAAAUUGAAUCUAGUCACUAUGUAUGUGCAUUAUUUAAUUGAAAACCAAUGCACAUUUGAUCAUCUAAAUUGUUGUUUUAACGCCAUGAGGGAUUAAAAAAUAUUUCUGAGUUACUCUAAUUCUCAGUGUCUCAGGUCUGGCCAAAAGUGCUCAGUGCAGUCAAACUACUCAGGUUUUGUUAAUGCUUGGAUUACACUUCAUUUGUUAUUCGUUUUCAUGAAUGUUUUUGUCUUUUAAAAAUAGGGCUGUAAUUCCUUCAUGGAUCACCUGAUAUGGAUGUAAGUAGCCUAAAAUUAAAGCCGACAGUCUACAAUUUAACUGCAUAUUCAUUGUUUUUCAAAUCCAUUGUGCUGGAGUACAGAGCCAAAACAAACAAAAAUGUGUCACUGUCCAAAUACUUUGAUUGCACUGAAUAUCAUUUUUACCACGUCGCUUAAUUGCUCUUUAUACUUAUGUAUUUUUGUUGUGAAGUGCUUUGAGCUUCAACUCAUUGUAUGAAAAAUGCACAGUACAAACACUAUUAACCAUAUGCAAAAAUUAACACUGAUAAUCCACUUGUGAAAUUUAGGUUUGACCCAAACCGACAAGAGGCCCUCCAGUGUGGAGUAUGACCUCAUUAUGUACGGCUAAGUCAAACGGCAUUUGCGGUAAAAAUGAGGAAGUGUCCAGAGCGGAUCUUUUUUUGACACGGUAUGUCUGUUUCCCUUGUCUGUCAUUUUAGCUUUGCCAGAAGUGGGCAAAAAUGGUGCCAUAAAUAAUGAGUAUAAGCAAAGACUGAGUAUGUUCGUUGAGUUUGUUUAUUCCCUAUGAAAUACCAUUCAGUUUACCAUGAAAUAAUUUGAUGCAAUGGUUUAUACACACAGGACUUCUAAAAUUCUAGAAAAAUCUACAACAAAAGACAUAUAUUCUAAAACAAAGGAAGAAAUGGGUAGAAAACAAGACCUAGACCUAGAUUUUUCCCUGGUAACAGUAUUAUGUUCUUGUACCUGAAAAACAAGUAUUAUCUACCAUCUAUUAGCAUCUUCAAUAUAUAUUCUCUAUUAUACAUAGUGUGUGUAUAUUUAUAUAUUAAUAUACAGUAAUCUCUACCACCUCCAACCCCCAUCAUUUAUUCAACUAAGUAAUAGUAGCACAAUAAAGGAUUAUUCAUUUACAGUGUACAUUCAUUCUUUUGUUACAAUAUAAAUGCACUUUUACAGCAGGGCAAACAAUACAAUUUAUUUAAACGGCUGAAAAAUAUUUACGUGGAAUCACAAAGUUAAUCAUUCCUGUUAGUACUUGUCAUUAUUGUCAAUAAAUCUAAG